This 500-nucleotide ribosomal RNA is filed under the name uncultured bacterium. RNAcentral describes it as "partial 16S ribosomal RNA". It matches the Rfam family "Bacterial small subunit ribosomal RNA", at positions 30 to 523 of the family's 1533-position model. The record is from RNAcentral.
AUUGAACGCUGGCGGAAUGCUUUACACAUGCAAGUCGAACGGCAGCACGGACUUCGGUCUGGUGGCGAGUGGCGAACGGGUGAGUAACGUAUCGGAACGUGCCCAGUCGUGGGGGAUAACGUAGUGAAAAUUACGCUAAUACCGCAUACGAUCUAUGGAUGAAAGCGGGGGAUCGCAAGACCGCGCGCGAUUGGAGCGGCCGAUAUCAGAUUAGGUAGUUGGUGGGGUAAAGGCCCACCAAGCCAACGAUCUGUAGCUGGUCUGAGAGGACGACCAGCCACACUGGAACUGAGACACGGUCCAGACUCCUACGGGAGGCAGCAGUGGGGAAUUUUGGACAAUGGGCGAAAGCCUGAUCCAGCCAUUCCGCGUGCAGGAUGAAGGCCCUCGGGUUGUAAACUGCUUUUGUACAGAACGAAAAGGUUUCUACUAAUACUAGGAGCUCAUGACGGUACAGUAAGAAUAAGCACCGGCUAACUACGUGCCAGCCGCCGCCGUAA